RNAcentral lists this ribosomal RNA (460 nucleotides) under uncultured bacterium. RNAcentral's name for it is "partial 16S ribosomal RNA". It matches the Rfam family "Bacterial small subunit ribosomal RNA", at positions 338 to 795 of the family's 1533-position model. The record is from RNAcentral.
CCUACGGGUGGCAGCAGUGAGGAAUAUUGGUCAAUGGACGAGAGUCUGAACCAGCCAAGUAGCGUGAAGGAUGACUGCCCUAUGGGUUGUAAACUUCUUUUAUAUGGGAAUAAAACGUUCCACGUGUGGGAUUUUGUAUGUACCAUAUGAAUAAGGAUCGGCUAACUCCGUGCCAGCAGCCGCGGUAAUACGGAGGAUCCGAGCGUUAUCCGGAUUUAUUGGGUUUAAAGGGAGCGUAGGUGGAGUGUUAAGUCAGUUGUGAAAGUUUGCGGCUCAACCGUAAAAUUGCAGUUGAAACUGGCAGUCUUGAGUACAGUAGAGGUGGGCGGAAUUCGUGGUGUAGCGGUGAAAUGCUUAGAUAUCACGCAGAACUCCGAUUGCGAAGGCAGUUCACUGGACUGCAACUGACACUGAGGCUCGAAAGUGUGGGUAUCAAACAGGAUUAGAUACCCGAGUAGUC